GUGUCAGCAGCCGCGGUAAUACAGAGGUCCCAAGCGUUGUUCGGAUUCACUGGGCGUAAAGGGUGCGUAGGCGGCAGGGAAAGUUUGAUGUGAAAGCUCCGGGCUUAACCCGGAAAUUGCAUUGAAAACUCCCCUGCUCGAGGAUUGGUAGGGAGACUGGAAUUCUCGGUGUAGCAGUGAAAUGCGUAGAUAUCGAGAGGAACACCAGUGGCGAAGGCGAGUCUCUGGACAAUUCCUGACGCUGAGGCACGAAAGCCAGGGUAGCAAACGGGAUUAGAAACCCGCGUAGUCC
RNAcentral lists this ribosomal RNA (292 nucleotides) under uncultured bacterium. RNAcentral describes it as "partial 16S ribosomal RNA". It matches the Rfam family "Bacterial small subunit ribosomal RNA", at positions 505 to 796 of the family's 1533-position model. The record is from RNAcentral.